RNAcentral lists this ribosomal RNA (766 nucleotides) under uncultured Streptococcus sp. Its description in RNAcentral is "bacterial SSU rRNA". It matches the Rfam family "Bacterial small subunit ribosomal RNA", at positions 28 to 776 of the family's 1533-position model. Lineage: Bacteria; Bacillati; Bacillota; Bacilli; Lactobacillales; Streptococcaceae. The record is from RNAcentral.
GACGAACCGCGGGGGGCGUGCCUAAUACAUGCAAGUAGAACGCUGAAGGAGGAGCUUUGCUUCUCUGGAUGAGUUGCGAACGGGUGUGUAACGCGUAGGUAACCUGCCUGGUAGCGGGGGAUAACUAUUGGAAACGAUAGCUAAUACCGCAUAAGAGUAGAUGUUGCAUGACAUUUGCUUAAAAGGUGCAAUUGCAUCACUACCAGAUGGACCUGCGUUGUAUUAGCUAGUUGGUGGGGUAACGGCUCACCAAGGCGACGAUACAUAGCCGACCUGAGAGGGUGAUCGGCCACACUGGGACUGAGACACGGCCCAGACUCCUACGGGAGGCAGCAGUAGGGAAUCUUCGGCAAUGGACGGAAGUCUGACCGAGCAACGCCGCGUGAGUGAAGAAGGUUUUCGGAUCGUAAAGCUCUGUUGUAAGAGAAGAACGAGUGUGAGAGUGGAAAGUUCACACUGUGACGGUAUCUUACCAGAAAGGGACGGCUAACUACGUGCCAGCAGCCGCGGUAAUACGUAGGUGGCAAGCGUUAUCCGGAUUUAUUGGGCGUAAAGAGAGUGCAGGCGGUUUUCUAAGUCUGAUGUGAAAGCCUUCGGCUUAACCGGAGAAGUGCAUCGGAAACUGGAUAACUUGAGUGCAGAAGAGGGUAGUGGAACUCCAUGUGUAGCGGUGGAAUGCGUAGAUAUAUGGAAGAACACCAGUGGCGAAGGCGGCUACCUGGUCUGCAACUGACGCUGAGACUCGAAAGCAUGGGUAGCGAACAGG